UAAAACCACUUCCUAUAUUUGACAGUAGAGAGGGCUAGGCACAAUUUCCUGACUGAACAAAGCAGCCUAAUACUUAAAGAGAGCAACUCCAGACUGUUACAGAGACUAGAGGGACCACAGCAAGGUUGACACCCUGAACAGGCUGAUAUCCUUUCAUCUCCCAUCCUCCCAGCAUGAUGUAAAUAAGAGGCUGAUAGGAAACUCGGCCUUCUGCAAAGAAACACCUUCUCUUUGCUGCCCUCAGCUGAUCCCACGUGCCAGGAAGAUGGAGCCAAGCUUGCUGAUGUGGGGAAUCUCUACACUCAUCACAGUAUCUGGCUACAUGACAGACCUUUGUGACGAUAACCCACCAAACCUCCAGCAUGCCACAUACAGAGCUCUCCAAUACAAGACGGGCACGAUGUUAAAUUGCGGCUGUGAGAGAGGCUUCCGCAGACUAAGCAACUUCAUGCGUUGUGCAGGAAACUCUAGCCACGCUUCCUGGGAAAACAAAUGCCAAUGCAUAAGUACAUCCUCCAAGAGCACAGAAGGACAAGUUACUCCUAAACCCAAAGAACAGAAGGAAAUGCAGAGCCAAACGCCACCCAUGGACCAAGGUAACCUUCCAGGUCACUGCAGGGAGCCUCCUUCCUGGGAACAUGAAGAUUCAAAGAGAAUCUACCACUUUGUGGUGGGGCAGACAGUUCGCUACCAGUGCGCGCAGGGAUUCAGGGCCCUGCGGAGAGGUUCUGACAAGAGCAUCUGCAAAACCAUCUCAGGGAAGACCCAGUGGACACAGCCCCAGCUCAAGUGCAUAAGUGAAAGUGAUGAAGAAGAGCCUCAAGCAAGCACCCAUGCUCCUCCUGGGAGAGACACUUCCUGUCCCUUGAUAACAACAAGUGCUACAGAUUUCCACAAACUCACAGAAGCGGCUACCACCGUGGAGUCAUUCAUAUUCACAACCGAGUAUCAGAUAGCAGGCCUCCCUGGUGGCCCCCUUAACUGAGGCCUCUGAACCUUGGUGAAGAGCAUGCUUGUCAGUUACUUCAUGCCCCUCAGAAAGAGCCAAGCCCCUCGAGGAAAGGCGCCAAGCCCUUUCCCACCUCCCCAGGGCUCCAGCCCCAGUCCCUGAGCCUCCUAGGAAAUCAUGUCGGGUGGGAGCUGCGUUCUGGGAAGGGAAGGCAGAAACGCCAGUGCACCCCUCUUCGGGAAACCCUUGCUCUGCGGGGAUUUUCUCAGCCUGAUCUGCAACCCGGCCCAGCGGGCACCUUUGCUGAACUGCUUCUCUGUUGACAGUGGCCGGCUGCGUUCUCCUGCUCAUUGGCGUCCUCCUUCUGAGCGGGCUCACCUGGCGGCGGAGAUGGAGGAAGAGGAGAAGAACAAUCUAGAAAACCAGGAGUGGUAAGAAGCCAAGAACAGCUCACAGAAGUCAUAAAGCACGAGCAAAAUCAAAGAAGUCGAACACUUACCCAAGA
Mirounga angustirostris (Northern elephant seal) is the source of this 1454-nucleotide RNA transcript. It is a transcript of the gene named interleukin 2 receptor subunit alpha, with no coding region annotated. The transcript is spliced from 8 exons. The record is from RefSeq and is a predicted model, not a curated record. Lineage: Eukaryota; Metazoa; Chordata; Mammalia; Carnivora; Phocidae.